UCUUCCCACUUGCCUCCUCACGUUUCCUCCUUGCAGGUCCCUGUCCGCACCCUCCCAGACCCAAGCCUGAGCUUGCUGUGAGAGCUCCUCGGCCCCGCGCCCGCCCCCAGAGCUGCCGCCCCUGGUUUGUAGCCUGGCAGAGCUGGAGGGAGGGGCGGAAGCAAGGAGGGUGCUCAUAUUUUGUCUUUGGACUUGAGCCGAUCUUUUGGCUGAUUCUCUCCACCCACUAAAGUCUCUCAACUUAUCUGGUCCUUGGGGUGAGGCCCUGAGAACUGAAAGAGUCCAGAAGUGGAGACUCUCACACUCAGUCAGCACUGGAGCCAGGCUGGGGAGGGGAGGACUAGCCAUGCGCCUCUGCCCCACCCCGCAUGUCUAGAAGCUCGUGCAGCACUGCAUGUGGGUACUGUGUCCCCCUAGUUCUGUGGAGUGGGUGGACAGGCCCUAUGUGGUGUCCCUUGGCUGAGGAGUUGGCAAGAGCCUGCCAAGGAGUAUAGUGUAGCAGAAAAAAAAUCUGCUCUCUGGCUGAUGGUAGCCUUCAGUCAGCCUUUCUCCUUGUGUGACCUUGGGCAAGUCACGGCCUCUCUCAGGGUCAUAGUUGGAUUCUAAGAUGGGAGCAGACAGCUGCUUCCAGUGGCCUCUUUAUGCCUGGGACAGCGGCGAUCUGCCUCUCCCAUCCCUGCCAUCAGGCUGCCACCAGCAGCCUAAGACCUCAGCUUCUCCCCUCCUCGGUUCUGACUCCACCUCCUUUGGGCCUCAGCCCCACCCCUCCUCCAGAGCCAGCCUGGGACUCACUUGCCUUUUUCUCUCCCUCUCUCCCUCCCUCCCCCACUCUCCUCAACUUUACUGUCCUGGCAUUACCCCAUCCUCACCCCCCUCCCCCAACCCUGGAUUUCUGACCCCUUUUCCUCUUCCUCUGUCCCUCCCCCUCUUAUUUUCUAGCUAUUACAAGCCAGAGGCACCCGGAUGUGAGCCCCCAGAUCACCUCCAGGGACUUGGGGUUCCGAUCUGAAAUCCUUUAUUUUUGUAC
This 1027-nucleotide long non-coding RNA is filed under the name Rattus norvegicus (Norway rat). RNAcentral's name for it is "long non-coding RNA NONRATT026094". The record is from RNAcentral. Lineage: Eukaryota; Metazoa; Chordata; Mammalia; Rodentia; Muridae.